AACGCACAUUGCGCCCUUCGGUAUUCCGAGGGGCACACCUGUUCGAGCGCCGUGUAAAAUCUAAGGCCCAGCCUUGCGUUGGUGGCUACCGUCUCUCAGGCGGUACCCCCUAAACUUCCGGGCGUCCGUCUCCCAGCCGGCUAUGCGCAAAAGCACCUGCCGCGCUAGGGGGUGGGCCGCCAGUUACACAGUACGUUUGGCCUCGGAUCAGGUGGGGAUACCCGCUGAACUUAA
RNAcentral lists this unclassified non-coding RNA (234 nucleotides) under uncultured Ascomycota. RNAcentral describes it as "sequence contains 5.8S rRNA gene, ITS2, 28S rRNA gene". The record is from RNAcentral. Lineage: Eukaryota; Fungi; Ascomycota.